Molecule: ribosomal RNA, 437 nt
Filed under: uncultured bacterium
Lineage: Bacteria
Description: bacterial SSU rRNA
Rfam family: Bacterial small subunit ribosomal RNA
Source: RNAcentral
GAGUUUGAUCCUGGCUCAGAUUGAACGCUGGCGGCAGGCCUAACACAUGCAAGUCGAGCGGUAGAGAGAAGCUUGCUUCUCUUGAGAGCGGCGGACGGGUGAGUAAUGCCUAGGAAUCUGCCUGGUAGUGGGGGAUAACGCUCGGAAACGGACGCUAAUACCGCAUACGUCCUACGGGAGAAAGCAGGGGACCUUCGGGCCUUGCGCUAUCAGAUGAGCCUAGGUCGGAUUAGCUAGUUGGUGGGGUAAUGGCUUACCAAGGCGACGAUCCGUAACUGGUCUGAGAGGAUGAUCAGUCACACUGGAACUGAGACACGGUCCAGACUCCUACGGGAGGCAGCAGUGGGGAAUAUUGGACAAUGGGCGAAAGCCUGAUCCAGCCAUGCCGCGUGUGUGAAGAAGGUCUUCGGAUUGUAAAGCACUUUAAGUUGGGAGGA